CCUCCUCUUCCUGCUCCUCUCCCGCCACCUCGUCAAUGCUUCCAUUUACCCCUAUGAUGUCUCCUUUUCUUCUAACAACAAAAAGAGAUUAAGAUACUACUAACACAUGAAGGAAUAGUACUGUAUGUUCAUGUUGUAUCAUUAUUCUUGAAAGUAAUAUGAAAUUAACAAGUUAACUAAAGACAAAGUUACUCACUAAGGGAUA
Molecule: long non-coding RNA, 205 nt
Organism: Amphimedon queenslandica
Lineage: Eukaryota; Metazoa; Porifera; Demospongiae; Haplosclerida; Niphatidae
Exons: 2
Source: RefSeq, a predicted model, not a curated record